GAUGGUGGAUCUCCAACCGCCUUCCUUCCCUCUCCGUUGAGCAUAGCAAUGGAUGGACCCCCGGUCCGAUCCGACAGUCACCCGAGGCAAGCCACCACCUCCUCCGCAUCGGAUCUCAUCUCCGGUGAGAGGAAGGGAGGAUUUUCAUGCCGGACAGCUGCCCUAUUUCCACUCUAAGAUCCAUGUAUGUAGCGCAUCAUCGGCUGCUCUUGAGGGGAAACUGAGGCUAAUCGGCCGACGGCAUGUCUCCCUGGGCAGAGGUGGCACGGGGUGUGGCUUUCCAGCAGCGGUGGCUGGGGCUUCACUGAGCAACCAGAUCUUGGCCUUCCAUGGACGCCGAUCCAAAGAACCUUACAAUCGUCAGGAAGCCGAUGGUGAGUCUUGAGAUAUGGCGGCGGUCCGUCGAUUUGGGAACCUCCGGCGGCCGCCAGCCGCCAUAUGGUUGGGGAGGGGGCAUUCAGCUUC
This 465-nucleotide long non-coding RNA is filed under the name Elaeis guineensis (African oil palm). Its description in RNAcentral is "long non-coding RNA (EGUI_LNC047038)". The record is from RNAcentral. Lineage: Eukaryota; Viridiplantae; Streptophyta; Magnoliopsida; Arecales; Arecaceae.